Molecule: ribosomal RNA, 174 nt
Filed under: uncultured Dietzia sp.
Lineage: Bacteria; Bacillati; Actinomycetota; Actinomycetes; Mycobacteriales; Dietziaceae
Description: partial 16S ribosomal RNA
Source: RNAcentral
AUUACCGCGGCUGCUGGCACGUAGUUAGCCGGUGCUUCUUCUGCAGGUACCGUCACUUACGCUUCGUCCCUACUGAAAGGGGUUUACAAUCCGAAGACCGUCAUCCCCCACGCGGCGUCGCUGCAUCAGGGUUUCCCCCAUUGUGCAAUAUUCCCCACUGCUGCCUCCCGUAGG